CAUCUUCAGGGCGGGGUGCAAGUCCCCACCGGCGGUGAUGGCCUCUGGCCUCAGUCCGCGACCGCGCAAGCGUUGAACCGGUGUGAAUCCGGUACCGACAGUGACAGUCUGGAUGGAAGAAGAUG
This 125-nucleotide non-coding RNA is filed under the name chicken gut metagenome. Its description in RNAcentral is "FMN riboswitch (RFN element)". It matches the Rfam family "FMN riboswitch aptamer (RFN element)". From Rfam's summary of the family: The RFN element is a highly conserved domain that is found frequently in the 5'-untranslated regions of prokaryotic mRNAs that encode for flavin mononucleotide (FMN) biosynthesis and transport proteins. This element is a metabolite-dependent riboswitch that directly binds FMN in the absence of proteins. In Bacillus subtilis, the riboswitch most likely controls gene expression by causing premature transcription termination within the 5' untranslated region of the ribDEAHT operon and precluding access to the ribosome-binding site of ypaA mRNA. The record is from RNAcentral.